GGCUAAUGAGCCUAGUCCUAUCUGGCUUAGACUUGGCUCGUUUAUUAAACAAGCUUUAAAAGUAAUCUUGAGUUUGGCUUAUUAACCAUAAUGAACAAUCUCAAGCAAGCUUUUAUUGAACUGAACUCCAAGUAACUCACAAGCAAAUAUUUUUGAAAGCGUAGCUCACGGCAUGAUUUUAUAGUGGACGGCCAACUGGAAUUAGAUGAACAAACUAAAAAGCCAAGAAAAAAACUGGAAGAAAAAAAAGACGAUGAACCAACCCACAGAGCUCUCAUAUCAGUUUAUAUUCAAAUGGAAAUUUUAUGAUGCUUAAAAGAGAGACAUGCAAGCUAAAGUAUACUUAAAAGUUUUCUCAUUUAAUGAAGUGUCCUUAUAAUUAACCUUGAAGAAAGAAGAUCAACAACAAAAAUCCAUUCAAAGCGUGUCUAAAUAAAUCACACAUCCAACUCCUUGAUAAGUGCAAUCAUGCACUAUAGUUUAUGAGCACUGUUACUUUCCAGAAGAACAUAAAUAUAAAUUGCAAUAUUGUUGAACAACUCAGCCAGGAAUGAAGAAAGUUCUAAUAAAUAUUGAUACUGUUUAGUGACUAAUACAAUUUAAAUUGAUGAAUUCAAAAGAAAGAUGACAUACCGU
RNAcentral lists this unclassified non-coding RNA (636 nucleotides) under Hevea brasiliensis (rubber tree). The record is from RNAcentral. Lineage: Eukaryota; Viridiplantae; Streptophyta; Magnoliopsida; Malpighiales; Euphorbiaceae.